RNAcentral lists this ribosomal RNA (1337 nucleotides) under uncultured bacterium. RNAcentral describes it as "16S ribosomal RNA". It matches the Rfam family "Bacterial small subunit ribosomal RNA", at positions 28 to 1386 of the family's 1533-position model. The record is from RNAcentral.
GACGAACGCUGGCGGCGCGCCUAACACAUGCAAGUCGAACGAGCGAGAGAGAGCUUGCUUUCUCGAGCGAGUGGCGAACGGGUGAGUAACGCGUGAGGAACCUGCCUCAAAGAGGGGGACAACAGUUGGAAACGACUGCUAAUACCGCAUAAGCCCACAGCUCGGCAUCGAGCAGAGGGAAAAGGAGCAAUCCGCUUUGAGAUGGCCUCGCGUCCGAUUAGCUAGUUGGUGAGGUAACGGCCCACCAAGGCGACGAUCGGUAGCCGGACUGAGAGGUUGAACGGCCACAUUGGGACUGAGACACGGCCCAGACUCCUACGGGAGGCAGCAGUGGGGAAUAUUGCACAAUGGGGGAAACCCUGAUGCAGCGACGCCGCGUGGUGGAAGAAGGUCUUCGGAUUGUAAACUCCUGUUGUUGAGGAAGAUAAUGACGGUACUCAACAAGGAAGUGACGGCUAACUACGUGCCAGCAGCCGCGGUAAAACGUAGGUCACAAGCGUUGUCCGGAAUUACUGGGUGUAAAGGGAGCGCAGGCGGGAAGACAAGUUGGAAGUGAAAUCCAUGGGCUCAACCCAUGAACUGCUUUCAAAACUGUUUUUCUUGAGUAGUGCAGAGGUAGGCGGAAUUCCCGGUGUAGCGGUGGAAUGCGUAGAUAUCGGGAGGAACACCAGUGGCGAAGGCGGCCUACUGGGCACCAACUGACGCUGAGGCUCGAAAGUGUGGGUAGCAAACAGGAUUAGAUACCCUGGUAGUCCACACUGUAAACGAUGAUUACUAGGUGUUGGAGGAUUGACCCCUUCAGUGCCGCAGUUAACACAAUAAGUAAUCCACCUGGGGAGUACGACCGCAAGGUUGAAACUCAAAGGAAUUGACGGGGGCCCGCACAAGCAGUGGAGUAUGUGGUUUAAUUUGACGCAACGCGAAGAACCUUACCAAGUCUUGACAUCCCUUGACGAUGCUGGAAACAGUAUUUCUCUUCGGAGCAAGGAGACAGGUGGUGCAUGGUUGUCGUCAGCUCGUGUCGUGAGAUGUUGGGUUAAGUCCCGCAACGAGCGCAACCCUUAUGGUCAGUUACUACGCAAGAGGACUCUGGCCAGACUGCCGUUGACAAAACGGAGGAAGGUGGGGAGGACGUCAAAUCAUCAUGCCCUCUAUGACUUGGGCUACACACGUACUACAAUGGCGUUAAACAAAGAGAAGCAAGACCGCGAGGUGGAGCAAAACUCAGAAACAACGUCCCAGUUCGGACUGCAGGCUGCAACUCGCCUGCACGAAGUCGGAAUUGCUAGUAAUCGCAGAUCAGCAUGCUGCGGUGAAUACGUUCCCGGGCCUUGCAC